Molecule: transfer RNA, 68 nt
Filed under: Eucnemidae sp. 4 ACP-2013
Lineage: Eukaryota; Metazoa; Arthropoda; Insecta; Coleoptera; Eucnemidae
Description: tRNA-Val
Source: RNAcentral
AAAUUAAAGCUUUUUUUUUGAAGCUUUUCAUUUACAUUGAGGGGAAUAUUAGAUUAAUAUAAUUUGAU